Molecule: ribosomal RNA, 270 nt
Filed under: Pycnococcus provasolii
Lineage: Eukaryota; Viridiplantae; Chlorophyta; Pseudoscourfieldiophyceae; Pseudoscourfieldiales; Pycnococcaceae
Description: partial Bacterial large subunit ribosomal RNA
Rfam family: Bacterial large subunit ribosomal RNA
Source: RNAcentral
AGAACGUCGUGAGACAGUUCGGUCUCUAUCUGCUGUGGGCGUUAGAAAUUUGCGUGGAUCUGACUCUAGUACGAGAGGACCGAGUUGGACUGACCUCUAGUGUACCAGUUGUUUCGCCAGAAGCAUGGCUGGGUAGCUACGUCGGGAAGGGAUAAGCGCUGAAAGCAUAUAAGCGCGAAACCCACCACAAGAUGAGAUUUCUUUAAAGGGUCGUUGGAGAUGACAACGUUGAUAGGCUAUAGGUGUAAGUGCAGUAAUGUAUGUAGCCGA